UACGGGGGGGGCAAGCGUUGUUCGGAAUUACUGGGCGUAAAGGGUUCGUAGGUGGCCAACUAAGUCAGACGUGAAAUCCCUCAGCUUAACUGGGGAACUGCGUCUGAUACUGGUUGGCUUGAGUUUGGGAGAGGGAUGCGGAAUUCCAGGUGUAGCGGUGAAAUGCGUAGAUAUCUGGAGGAACACCGGUGGCGAAGGCGGCAUCCUGGACCAACACUGACGCUGAGUGAGCGAAAGCCAGGGGAGCAAACGGG
RNAcentral lists this ribosomal RNA (254 nucleotides) under uncultured bacterium. RNAcentral's name for it is "partial 16S ribosomal RNA". It matches the Rfam family "Bacterial small subunit ribosomal RNA", at positions 524 to 776 of the family's 1533-position model. The record is from RNAcentral.